GCCUCUAUAGCUCAGUGGUAGAGCAACUGCCUUGUAAGCAGUAGGUCCUCGGUUCAAUCCCGAGUGGGGGCUCCA
RNAcentral lists this transfer RNA (75 nucleotides) under Aeromonas phage Aeh1. Its description in RNAcentral is "tRNA-Thr". It matches the Rfam family "tRNA". From Rfam's summary of the family: Transfer RNA (tRNA) molecules are approximately 80 nucleotides in length. The record is from RNAcentral. Lineage: Duplodnaviria; Heunggongvirae; Uroviricota; Caudoviricetes; Pantevenvirales; Straboviridae.